CUACAGAGGGUGCGAGCGUUAAUCGGAAUUACUGGGCGUAAAGCGCGCGUAGGCGGCUUGGUUAGUCGGAUGUGAAAGCCCUGGGCUCAACCUGGGAAUUGCAUUCGAUACUGCCAAGCUAGAGUAUGGGAGAGGGAAGUGGAAUUUCCGGUGUAGCGGUGAAAUGCGUAGAUAUCGGAAAGAACACCAGUGGCGAAGGCGACUUCCUGGCCCAAUACUGACGCUGAGGUGCGAAAGCGUGGGGAGCGAACAGGAUUAGAUACCCUAGUAGUCC
RNAcentral lists this ribosomal RNA (274 nucleotides) under uncultured bacterium. RNAcentral's name for it is "partial 16S ribosomal RNA". It matches the Rfam family "Bacterial small subunit ribosomal RNA", at positions 523 to 796 of the family's 1533-position model. The record is from RNAcentral.